GAUGAACGCUGGUGGCGUGCUUAACACAUGCAAGUCGAACGGAAAGGCCAGUGCUUGCCCUGGUACUCGAGUGGCGAACGGGUGAGUAACACGUGGGUGAUCUGCCCUGCACUUCGGGAUAAGCUUGGGAAACUGGGUCUAAUACCGGAUAGGACCACUCCGUCGUUGUUGUGGUGGAAAGUUUUUUGGGUGUGGGUUGAGCUCGCGGCCUAUCAGCUUGUUGGUGGGGUAAUGGCUUACCAAGGCGUCGACGGGUAGCAGGCCUGAGAGGGUGUGCGGCAAAAUCGGAAGUGAGACACGGGUCAGGCACCUACGGGAAUGAGCGGUGGGGAAUAGUACACAAGCGGCGGAAGUCUGAAGCAUCGUCGCCGCGUAGGAGACGGCGGUCAGCGGGUUAUAAGCGCCUUUCGACAAGUACGCAUUUUGACGGUAUCUGGAGAGGAAGCCCCGGCUAACUACGUG
RNAcentral lists this ribosomal RNA (462 nucleotides) under uncultured bacterium. RNAcentral's name for it is "partial 16S ribosomal RNA". It matches the Rfam family "Bacterial small subunit ribosomal RNA", at positions 28 to 507 of the family's 1533-position model. The record is from RNAcentral.